GCCCCCGUAGCUCAAUUGGAUAGAGCACCCCGCUUCUAACGGGGAGGUUGUGAGUUCGAUUCUCACCGGGGGUG
RNAcentral lists this transfer RNA (74 nucleotides) under Candidatus Yonathbacteria bacterium RBG_16_43_6. Its description in RNAcentral is "tRNA-Arg". It matches the Rfam family "tRNA". From Rfam's summary of the family: Transfer RNA (tRNA) molecules are approximately 80 nucleotides in length. Their secondary structure includes four short double-helical elements and three loops (D, anti-codon, and T loops). The record is from RNAcentral. Lineage: Bacteria; Candidatus Yonathiibacteriota.